This 435-nucleotide ribosomal RNA is filed under the name uncultured Pedobacter sp. RNAcentral describes it as "bacterial SSU rRNA". It matches the Rfam family "Bacterial small subunit ribosomal RNA", at positions 358 to 790 of the family's 1533-position model. Lineage: Bacteria; Pseudomonadati; Bacteroidota; Sphingobacteriia; Sphingobacteriales; Sphingobacteriaceae. The record is from RNAcentral.
GGAAUAUUGGUCAAUGGAGGCAACUCUGAACCAGCCAUGCCGCGUGCAGGAAGACGGCCCUCUGGGUUGUAAACUGCUUUUAUUCGGGAAUAAACCUACUUACGUGUAAGUAGCUGAAUGUACCGAAGGAAUAAGGAUCGGCUAACUCCGUGCCAGCAGCCGCGGUAAUACGGAGGAUCCAAGCGUUAUCCGGAUUUAUUGGGUUUAAAGGGUGCGUAGGCGGCCUAUUAAGUCAGGGGUGAAAGACGGUAGCUCAACUAUCGCAGUGCCUUUGAUACUGAUGGGCUUGAAUGGACUAGAGGUAGGCGGAAUGUGACAAGUAGCGGUGAAAUGCAUAGAUAUGUCACAGAACACCGAUUGCGAAGGCAGCUUACUAUGGUCUUAUUGACGCUGAGGCACGAAAGCGUGGGGAUCAAACAGGAUUAGAUACCCCAG